GCGGCCGCUUCCCAACUAGGGCGGGGCAGGGCGAGGGCGAGGCCCGCUUCCCACGCGCCGGGCGCCCGAGCCGCCGGUCCUGGCCCUGCAGGCGUCGCCUUUGCUCGCGUCACGCACGGCGAAGUACAGGGAUCCUUCGGGGCCCGAGGGUGCUGCUUUACUAACUUGCCCUUUCUGCCGUUUUGGCUUUCAGCAUUUCCUGUGUUACAUCUGCAAGGAAUACGUAGAGGAUCUGGCCAAAAUCCCCAAGAGUUUCUUACAAGAAGCAAAUGUCACCCUUAUAGUGAUUGGACAGUCAUCCUACCAUCAUAUUGAGCCUUUUUGCAAACUGACUGGAUAUUCUCAUGAAAUCUAUGUCGAUCCUGAGAGAGAAAUUUAUAAAAGAUUGGGAAUGAAAAGAGGUGAAGAAAUUGCCUCCUCAGGACAGAGCCCCCACGUAAAAUCAAAUCUACUCUCA
Molecule: small RNA, 457 nt
Filed under: Pongo abelii (Sumatran orangutan)
Lineage: Eukaryota; Metazoa; Chordata; Mammalia; Primates; Hominidae
Description: processed transcript
Source: RNAcentral